UACGUAGGGGGCAAGCGUUGUCCGGAAUCAUUGGGCGUAAAGAGCGUGUAGGCGGCCAGAUAAGUCCGCUGUGAAAACUCGAGGCUCAACUUCGAGCUGUCGGUGGAAACUAUUUGGCUAGAGUCCGGAAGAGGAGAGUGGAAUUCCUGGUGUAGCGGUGAAAUGCGCAGAUAUCAGGAAGAACACCCGUGGCGAAGGCGGCUCUCUGGGCCGUAACUGACGCUGAGGAGCGAAAGCAUGGGGAGCGAACAGG
Molecule: ribosomal RNA, 253 nt
Filed under: uncultured bacterium
Lineage: Bacteria
Description: partial 16S ribosomal RNA
Rfam family: Bacterial small subunit ribosomal RNA
Source: RNAcentral